Molecule: transfer RNA, 71 nt
Filed under: Phrynosoma platyrhinos (Desert horned lizard)
Lineage: Eukaryota; Metazoa; Chordata; Lepidosauria; Squamata; Phrynosomatidae
Description: tRNA-OTHER
Source: RNAcentral
GCCAGUGUGGGUAGUGGUUUGAGCGUUGGACUAGGACUCUAGAGACCAGGGUUCGAUUCCCCACUCAGCCA